UCUCCAGACUCCUACGGGAGGCAGCAGUGGGGAAUAUUGCACAAUGGGGGAAACCCUGAUGCAGCGACGCCGCGUGAGUGAAGAAGUAAUUCGUUAUGUAAAGCUCUAUCAGCAGGGAAGAAAAUGACGGUACCUGAGUAAGAAGCUCCGGCUAACUACGUGCCAGCAGCCGCGGUAAUACGUAGGGGGCAAGCGUUAUCCGGAUUCACUGGGUGUAAAGGGAGCGUAGACGGCGACGCAAGUCUGGAGUGAAAGCCCGGGGCCCAACCCCGGGACUGCUCUGGAAACUGCGGCGCUGGAGUACGGGAGGGGCAGGCGGAAUUCCUGGUGUAGCGGUGAAAUGCGUAGAUAUCAGGAGGAACACCGGCGGCGAAGGCGGCCUGCUGGACCGUGACUGACGUUGAGGCUCGAGAGCGUGGGGAGCAAACAGGAUUAGAUACCCUCGUAGG
RNAcentral lists this ribosomal RNA (449 nucleotides) under uncultured bacterium. RNAcentral describes it as "bacterial SSU rRNA". It matches the Rfam family "Bacterial small subunit ribosomal RNA", at positions 328 to 794 of the family's 1533-position model. The record is from RNAcentral.